ACUUGCUUCAAUAGCACAUACUAAAAUUGGAACUCUACACAGAAGAUUAGCAUGACCCCUUGCAAGGAGGACACACAAAUUUGUAAAGCAUUCUGUAUUUUU
This is a small nuclear RNA of Marmota monax (woodchuck), 102 nucleotides long. The record is from RefSeq and is a predicted model, not a curated record. Lineage: Eukaryota; Metazoa; Chordata; Mammalia; Rodentia; Sciuridae.